Molecule: ribosomal RNA, 427 nt
Filed under: uncultured bacterium
Lineage: Bacteria
Description: bacterial SSU rRNA
Rfam family: Bacterial small subunit ribosomal RNA
Source: RNAcentral
UGGGGAAUUUUGGACAAUGGGCGCAAGCCUGAUCCAGCCAUGCCGCGUGCAGGAUGAAGGCCUUCGGGUUGUAAACUGCUUUUGUACGGAACGAAAAGACUCUGGUUAAUACCUGGGGUCCAUGACGGUACCGUAAGAAUAAGCACCGGCUAACUACGUGCCAGCAGCCGCGGUAAUACGUAGGGUGCGAGCGUUAAUCGGAAUUUCUGGGCGUAAAGCGUGCGCAGGCGGUUAUGUAAGACAGAUGUGAAAUCCCCGGGCUCAACCUGGGAACUGCAUUUGAGACUGCAGAGCUAGAGUGCGGCAGAGGGGGAUAGAAUUCCGCGUGUAACAGUGAAAUGCGUAGAUAUGAGGAGGAACACCGAUGGCGAAGGCAAUCCCCUGGGCCUGUACUGACGCUCAUGCACGAAAGCGUGGAGAGCAAACA